GGGUUGUGAGGUUAAGCGACUAAGCGUACACGGUGGAUGCCCUGGCAGUCAGAGGCGAUGAAGGGCGUGCUAAUCUGCGAUAAGCGCCGGUAAGGUGAUAUGAACCGUUAUAACCGGCGAUACCCGAAUGGGGAAACCCAGUGUGACUCGUCACACUAUCAUUAACUGAAUCCAUAGGUUAAUGAGGCGAACCGGGGGAACUGAAACAUCUAAGUACCCCGAGGAAAAGAAAUCAACCGAGAUUCCCCCAGUAGCGGCGAGCGAACGGGGAGGAGCCCAGAGCCUGAAUCAGCAUGUGUGUUAGUGGAAGCGUCUGGAAAGGCGCGCGAUACAGGGUGACAGCCCCGUACACAAAAGCGCAUGUGCUGUGAGCUCGAUGAGUAGGGCGGGACACGUGGUAUCCUGUCUGAAUAUGGG
Molecule: ribosomal RNA, 417 nt
Filed under: Salmonella enterica subsp. enterica serovar Paratyphi B
Lineage: Bacteria; Pseudomonadati; Pseudomonadota; Gammaproteobacteria; Enterobacterales; Enterobacteriaceae
Description: bacterial LSU rRNA
Rfam family: Bacterial large subunit ribosomal RNA
Source: RNAcentral